GGAUUUGGAGCCCAUAGAUGUGGAAGAACAUAGAAUUGAAAUUGAUUUACAUGCAAAGCAAGGGUUAAAAUUGUCAUACAAUCACAUUAAAGUAGUUAGACAGUAAAAUAGAGAUCAAACCUGAGAGAUAAGCAAGAAAAAUACAUUCAUUUAAUGGCAUACAUGCAAUAGCUGCUUUCUCAAUUCCAAAGCAUAUGAAUGAAAAAAGUAAGCAUGCAUGGACAUGCACAAGCUAGCUUAUGUUUUCAACAAGAGACCCAGCCAGCAACACACACAUGCACUGCUGAAUAAUAUUCUUAUUUCAGCAUUGUUUAUAGAGUAUAAAUGCACAAACUUCCACAAAGGGGAACAUUAC
This 355-nucleotide unclassified non-coding RNA is filed under the name Hevea brasiliensis (rubber tree). The record is from RNAcentral. Lineage: Eukaryota; Viridiplantae; Streptophyta; Magnoliopsida; Malpighiales; Euphorbiaceae.